Molecule: long non-coding RNA, 2857 nt
Filed under: Olea europaea subsp. europaea
Lineage: Eukaryota; Viridiplantae; Streptophyta; Magnoliopsida; Lamiales; Oleaceae
Source: RNAcentral
CUGAUUCUUGUUCAAUAAUGCUAUUUUUUGACCUUUAAAAUUGAAAUUAGAGAUAGAAUCAUCUUUCCGUUCUUUUGUUUUCUCGAGUACAGCUUCUGAGUGUUUUUGUUGGUCAGCUUGAUUAUGCACUUUACUGUGUAGAUAUUUUUUUCAAUAAUGUAGAAGUUGGUGCUUCAGAAAUUGCAUAUCUUCAUCCAUUUAUCAGUUUUUUAGGCUGCUAAUAUCCUAAUCAUUUAAAGAUUACCCUUUCAACAAAUAAUUAAGUAUAAAAUGCCAUCAAUCGAGGCUGCUAAUAUCCUAAUCAUUUAAAGAUUACCCUUUCAACAAAUAAUUAAGUAUAAAAUGCCAUCAAUUGGAGUCAAAAAAUGAAUAUUUGAAUUUAUUAAGAUCUCUAACCUUCAUUUCUUUUGAUGUUGCAAAUUUAUAUUCAAUCUCUAGGUCAUCUUUCGAAUCAAUUGACAAUGCAAAACAUAUUGUAUAAAAUGGACAAAUCUAAGGUAAUUGUGUUUUCUUAUAUUUAGGUAAGGUUUUUGUUAAGGUUUCGAAAAUAAUUUCAUUUUAACUUUGUUUUCACGUUGCAUUGUUAAAGUUAACUAUGCGAGCUUCCAAGAAGUUUAAACGACGGAGAGCUACAAUUGUUGUGGCAAUUUGAGAGACCAAUAAGAGACUACAGCUGUCAAGCGAACCAGAAAAUUCUAUAUCUACUCCAAUUAAUGAUAAGCAAAACACGCAGCCUACAAAUGCAAAUGUAGAAGCUCCGAAAAAGGAAAGGUGUCCAACUCAAGUGAAAAUGAUUCCUGGAAAUAGUUAUUAGAACAUGGAUCUCGAAUUCAAUGAGUAUGGGCAAGUAGUUGGCCGUAACUCAGAUAAAUUUGCUAAUGUAGUUAGAGCCAUGGUACGAGAACAUAUGCUUGCUGUAAUUAAAGAUUGACAUUCGGUUGAUGGGAAGUAAAAAAUGAAACUUUGGAAUUUCGUACAGGUAUAUCUCUUAUCUACCUUUUAAGAUUAUUACAUUAUAUUCUUUUCAGACUUUAAUUUAUUUUUGUAUACAAGUACAACAAAUGUUCAAUGUGAGUGAUUAUUAUCAAAAAAUAACAAUUCAAUGUAUGGGAAAGUAUUGAAGGACAUUUAAGUCAAGACUGAAAAAACAAAUCAAAACUCAAGUCGAAUCAUACGUGAAUAGAGCUUGCACUAUGGCCUUUCUUAGACCGAAGAAUGUUAAAUCUGAACAAGCAUGGGAAAAUUUUGUCAAGGAUAUGCUUUCUGCUGACUUUCGUGUAAGUAUAUUUACAUACGAGGCUUCAACUUUUUAUAAUUACUUUACAUUAUUAAUAUUUGGUAUUCGUAAUAGGAAAAAAGUUUCAAGUUUAGCAGCAUGAGAACAUCUCAGAAGCUUGUCCACAAUAUGGGUUGAAAGGGUUAUCCAUGCCCAUGAAAUGGUAGAAUUACAAACAUAUCUAAUCUUCUUAUUUGAAUUGUCACACUCUAAUUUAUGUAAUUACUAGAUUUUUAUUGCAGGGGAAAAAUAUUCUAGAUAUAAAAUGAUUGAGAACUAGAGUAUAGACUCAUGGAUAUCUUAGAAAAGAUGGAAAAUCGAUAAAUUACAGUUGCUGAAACUUUAGUAUGUGUAUUAUAUCAAUGUUCAACUAAGAUUAAUUUGAUUUACUAUAUGUACCACUUGUUAAUAUAAAAUUUGAGUUCCAUGACUAAAGAAAAUGAUUGAAGUGUGUGCCCAAUCAAUUUCUGAUACACCAGCAGAAUCCCCAUUCGAGAUGAUGCUGUUGCUCGAUUUUUAGGUCCUGGACGCCAUGGAAGAGUUAGAGGACUUGGAUUUAAAGAUCCAUCAUCAAAAGUGGAUAGAAAAAUUCAAAAUAAUAUAAGAGUUAGAGAACUUCAAAGUCAACCACAAACUCAUUAAGAAAGGGGGGCAUUAGAAGAAAAGUUUGAAGUACUUCUCAAACUAUCUCAACAGGUUAUAAUCUGACCAUUAUAUAUACUGUGGUAAUAGUGCUUAAUACAGUCAAUUACAUGUAAAUUUACUUUUAUAAUUUUUGUAUCAUCUUACAUGAAUAUAGAGGAUAGGAGUUCAUGUGCUUUUAUUCCCCAGGUUUUUGUAUCCUACAUUAUUAAAUGUUUGUUGAAUUUGUAGACGCACCAAGGAAGUGGUGUCCAAGGAGGUACUGCACACCUGAAAAAUGCAAGGUGUUAACUAUUGCAUUGGUACGUUUUUUAGGAGGAAGAAAUUAUAGCGGAAGGGAAGAUUGUAACAACAGACCUAAGUGCAAAUGUGCAUCACUUGCCACUCGAACGAGACUGUUGGAAGGUUUGGAUUAAAGAGGUGUAUAUGGGUGAUUUAACCUCUAUAAAGACCUACACAUGAACUUAGAACUCUUAGUGAUGCCAUGAGAAGUACUGUUGAUUGGCCAAAGAGCAGUAUUAAACUUAUUUGAUGAAAGUAUAUUUCGUAGACUAAUUACAUACAUGUAUGAAUCUAUUUUUAUUUUCAAAAUCAAUUGUAGUUCUAUUUACACAUGAGUUAUGAAUCAAACUUUGUUAUAAUUUCAUAGAGUUCUCAGUAGCAUGCAAUCAUUGAUAGUUUUUUAGGAUGUACUCUUUUGCUUGGUACUACUUUCUUUAUCAAAUGGAUUUCAAUGUUUCGCUCUAUUGAUAUGCUUGGGGAAACAGGACAUGAUUAUAUUUCAUUUUCCUUGUAGGUAAAAUCAAGCAGAGCUCCUACAUUUGUACAGGGUAGGGGCGAAUUCUGUUAAUAUAUUAAUAGUGCAAGAAAAAAAAAGACAUUUGUUUCCAUUUUGUAUUUUGUAUGAGUAAAAAAUAUGUAAUGAAAUUUUAAUUUCUG